Molecule: ribosomal RNA, 324 nt
Filed under: Triticum aestivum (bread wheat)
Lineage: Eukaryota; Viridiplantae; Streptophyta; Magnoliopsida; Poales; Poaceae
Description: partial small subunit ribosomal RNA
Source: RNAcentral
AUGAACCAGCUCGUUAUUUGUUUGGUGGUUGGUUUGCAUACAUGUUCUUUUUCUGCAGAAAUAUGUUGUGGUUCCUUGCAAAGUAAAUAUGCUGUCAGAUUUACUUUUAUUUUGUUCCUAAUCAUUUUGUUCUAUAACUUGCAAAUGCUGGCCUUUCAUGUUUCUUCGCGAGCAUCAGGACAAAGAAGUUGGAAGAAGCAUAGUUCUAGCUCAUUGGAGCUAGUUUUGGGAGUAAUGAAGCACUUUAGGAUGAUCCUAUUUGUAUGUGUGUUAUAUGAUGUAGACUCUACACUUGUAGACUCAUGUGGUAGACUCAUGUGGUAG